GCAGUAGCCACGGUAAUACGUAGGGUGCGAGCGUUGUCCGGAAUUAUUGGGCAUAAAGAGCUUGUAGGCGGUCUGUCGCGUCUGCUGUGAAAACCCGAGGCUCAACCUCGGGCCUGCAGUGGGUACGGGCAGACUAGAGUGCGGUAGGGGAGAACGGAACUCCUGGUGUAGCGGUGGAAUGCGCAGAUAUCAGGAAGAACACCGAUGGCGAAGGCAGUUCUCUGGGCCGUAACUGACGCUGAGAAGCGAAAGCGUGGGGAGCGAACAGGAUUAGAUACCCCGGUAGUCCCUGUCUCUUAUAC
Molecule: ribosomal RNA, 302 nt
Filed under: uncultured bacterium
Lineage: Bacteria
Description: partial 16S ribosomal RNA
Rfam family: Bacterial small subunit ribosomal RNA
Source: RNAcentral